GGGAGGGCUUGUCAGGCGUCGAUGCCAAGUCACUGAGGAGUGAGGGUCGCAGCCUCCAGCGGGAACAGCGUGCCGUGGCAGCGCUUGGAGACCCCAGCUGGCAUUUCACUGUUGCCCUGGGGGCCGCUUCCUCCCAACUUGGUCUCCGGGGAGGACGGGCAGCUGAAGGGACACACAGAGGAGGGACGCGAUGCAUAAUGGCGAGCCUGUUCCAGGGGCCUGUGGAUCCAGAUCAGACGGGACCAAUGAGGCCUAAUUGGCCGCCUCGGAUCUGCAGAAAAUACUGAGGGGCCCGAAGGCGCACACAGACGCACGCGUGCGCGCGGUCCCCUCAGCCCUCUCAUCCUGAGCUCCGAAGAGAAGGGAGGGCGAGGGUGAAUGAAGCCCGCAGAGCACAAGAGCCCAGGUGGAGAUAGCAAAGCAAACCGCUUAGAUCUGGACUGUGAAAUCGGAGAAAACAUCACAGAUCGAUAUUUAAUUACAGACUAGACUUGCGGUUGGAAAAAAGUUUUAUGUCAAUUUGGUGUGAUGGUGCUGGACCGGUCUCAGACAAAAAGCGACAAGGACAAGACUUCCUAGCCAACCCCAACUGAAGCCUCUACCGGGCUAUAUCCACCUCUAUCUGAUUUCGUUAAAGCUCCUUCAGGGCAAUAUCCCUUACAGGAGGUGAGUGGAGAAUUCGACCCUACCUGAAUCCUGAAGUCCU
Long non-coding RNA from Fukomys damarensis (Damara mole-rat), 706 nucleotides. RefSeq lists it as uncharacterized. NCBI's taxonomy places the organism in Eukaryota, Metazoa, Chordata, Mammalia, Rodentia, Bathyergidae. The record is from RefSeq and is a predicted model, not a curated record. The transcript has 3 exons.